UGGGGAAUAUUGCACAAUGGGCGCAAGCCUGAUGCAGCCAUGCCGCGUGUGUGAAGAAGGCCUUCGGGUUGUAAAGCACUUUCAGCGGGGAGGAAGGCGUUAAGGUUAAUAACCUUGGCGAUUGACGUUACCCGCAGAAGAAGCACCGGCUAACUCCGUGCCAGCAGCCGCGGUAAUACGGAGGGUGCAAGCGUUAAUCGGAAUUACUGGGCGUAAAGCGCACGCAGGCGGUCUGUCAAGUCGGAUGUGAAAUCCCCGGGCUCAACCUGGGAACUGCAUUCGAAACUGGCAGGCUAGAGUCUUGUAGAGGGGGGUAGAAUUCCAGGUGUAGCGGUGAAAUGCGUAGAGAUCUGGAGGAAUACCGGUGGCGAAGGCGGCCCCCUGGACAAAGACUGACGCUCAGGUGCGAAAGCGUGAGGAGCAAACAGG
This 429-nucleotide ribosomal RNA is filed under the name Chloroflexota bacterium. RNAcentral's name for it is "Chloroflexi bacterium partial 16S ribosomal RNA". It matches the Rfam family "Bacterial small subunit ribosomal RNA", at positions 355 to 776 of the family's 1533-position model. Lineage: Bacteria; Bacillati; Chloroflexota. The record is from RNAcentral.